UAGCCUGACUGUGCUUAUUUGCUACUAGUGUUCACUGCACCUUUAAAAAUUUGAUUACACUUAAUGUGUCCAACAGACCAUCAUCGAAAUAUGUUGGAUUUAGGUCUACAUCAGCCCCUCCAUCUGCAGCCUCAGGAAGACCUCCAGUUCAGGCCUCAACAAGUAGGCUCCACACAGAGACAAUGGAAAGACCAAAAAAAAGAAAUUCUGCAAUAAUGGAGCCAAAAGCCAGACCUUGCCAGCCAUACCACCAUUUCCAUUUCCACCAUCAACACCAGAGACAGUCCCAGAUCUAAGACAAGAUGAAAGAGAACUCCGACUCUUUCAGAUGCUAGAGGAGAUAAAAGGCCAAGUCAGACAAAAUUCUCUUCUGCUUCAGGCAAUUUUGAGAAGAGAGAGUGUCACUGAAGUCAGCAGUUUUCCAGAUUUUGAGUUUCCGUUACAAAAUAUUAAUGAUAUAAAAAAAUGGAGGACCGGCUUUCUGACA
This is a long non-coding RNA of Alosa alosa (allis shad), 487 nucleotides long. RefSeq lists it as uncharacterized. The transcript has 3 exons. The record is from RefSeq and is a predicted model, not a curated record. NCBI's taxonomy places the organism in Eukaryota, Metazoa, Chordata, Actinopteri, Clupeiformes, Clupeidae.